UGGGGGAUAUUGCACAAUGGGGGAAACCCUGAUGCAGCGACGCCGCGUGGAGGAAGAAGGUUUUCGGAUUGUAAACUCCUGUCGUUAGGGACGAUAAUGACGGUACCUAACAAGAAAGCACCGGCUAACUACGUGCCAGCAGCCGCGGUAAAACGUAGGGUGCAAGCGUUGUCCGGAAUUACUGGGUGUAAAGGGAGCGCAGGCGGGAAGACAAGUUGGAAGUGAAAACCAUGGGCUCAACCCAUGAAUUGCUUUCAAAACUGUUUUUCUUGAGUAGUGCAGAGGUGGAUGGAAUUCCCGGUGUAGCGGUGGAAUGCGUAGAUAUCGGGAGGAACACCAGUGGCGAAGGCGGUCUACUGGGCACCAACUGACGCUGAGGCUCGAAAGCAUGGGUAGCAAACAGGAUUAGAUACCCUGGUAGUCCAUGCCGUAAACGAUGAUUACUAGGUGUUGGGGGAUUGACCCCCUCAGUGCCGCAGUUAACACAAUAAGUAAUCCACCUGGGGAGUACGACCGCAAGGUUGAAACUCAAAGGAAUUGACGGGGGCCCGCACAAGCAGUGGAGUAUGUGGUUUAAUUCGAAGCAACGCGAAGAACCUUACCAGGUCUUGACAUCCGAUGCAUAGCACAGAGAUGUGUGAAAUCCUUCGGGACAUCGAGACAGGUGGUGCAUGGUUGUCGUCAGCUCGUGUCGUGAGAUGUUGGGUUAAGUCCCGCAACGAGCGCAACCCUUAUUGCCAGUUACUACGUUAAGAGGACUCUGGCGAGACUGCCGUUGACAAAACGGAGGAAGGUGGGGAUGACGUCAAAUCAUCAUGCCCUUUAUGACCUGGGCUACACACGUACUACAAUGGCGUUAAACAAAGAGAAGCAAGACCGCGAGGUGGAGCAAAACUCAAAAACAACGUCUCAGUUCAGAUUGCAGGCUGCAACUCGCCUGCAUGAAGUCGGAAUUGCUAGUAAUCGCGGAUCAGCAUGCCGCGGUGAAUACGUUCCC
This 997-nucleotide ribosomal RNA is filed under the name uncultured bacterium. RNAcentral describes it as "bacterial SSU rRNA". It matches the Rfam family "Bacterial small subunit ribosomal RNA", at positions 355 to 1375 of the family's 1533-position model. The record is from RNAcentral.